Monopterus albus (swamp eel) is the source of this 1183-nucleotide long non-coding RNA. RefSeq lists it as uncharacterized. Lineage: Eukaryota; Metazoa; Chordata; Actinopteri; Synbranchiformes; Synbranchidae. The transcript is spliced from 5 exons. The record is from RefSeq and is a predicted model, not a curated record.
GUUAACGUUACUUACUGUGGUGUAGCAGUUCGUGGGUUCGCACCAGUUCGCUGAGCUGAUUACUCCAAAAGCGAUGACAAGCACCGGUGGGCGUUCACGGUUGGUGUACCUCCUCGAGGUGUCCAUGGAAGAUGUAGGGGGUACGGUCGGUUGGGGGACCUCUGCAAGGUCCACCCUGAAAGCGGCAGAAGGGUGAGGCGUGCGGACGCCAAGGAAAGUGAAGAGAACGGUAAUGGAACCACUGGUUUUUGGUCUUACACACAAAAAAAAAAAGGAUGUGAGCGACAUCUACCUUUCUGUCUUCAGACCCCUCUGGGGGUGGGGGACCACCCACUGUCCGAACCCGUGGUAUCCGCACGCUUCUAGCGACCGUACCCCCUACAUCUUCCAUGGACACCUCGAGGAGGUACACCAACCGUGAACGCCCACCGGUGCUUGUCAUCGCUUUUGGAGUAAUCAGCUCAGCGAACUGGUGCGAACCCACGAACUGCUACACCACAUCUUCAGGUAUAAUGAAUGGAUGAAGUGUGCUGAGCUGCAGCAGGCAUGCAGGGGAACUGGAGGGAAGACGAUGACAGUAAGACUUCUUCUGCAGUAAAUGUCCACACAGAACAUGAAACCAGCAAGCUGGGCAAUAAGCUGGUACAUACAUACACAUACAUGCACACAUGCUCCGUGGGUCCUUCGGCAAGGUCCUUUAUGCUAUUUGCCCAGUGAGGUACAUCAUGAAAGCUACGGCCAGGACGCCAGGGUCAGGGGAGAUAGCAUCCUCCCCACAGUCGGAGAUGAAGAUGGAGAAGGUUGAAGAAGAAGAAGACUGGCUAUAAGACACUGACUAGGGCUAAGAUAAAGAUAGACGCUGUGGCUUCGUGAUGGUGUCCUCCACAAACCAGCAAGCUGAAGACACGGUAGAAGAGAGAAAGGAGUGAUGAAGAAAGCAGAGGGUUACCUGUGGUAAAGAUCCUGAUCCUCCAAAUGGCCAAAAACCAGGCAUCCACAGCUCUGGGGUUCUUCCAUGAAGCUGCAAAGAAACCUGACUUUCCCUUCAGCCAGGCUGCUAGAGCCACAGCUGUGGAAAAUGGGAUGACUCCCUCAUGAGCACAUUGAGGGGGACCAUUUUCCCAGAUGUGGAUCAUGCUGGAGUACAGUGAAGAACCAAGAGAGCGGAACAAGACAGAUUUAU